UACGAAGGGGACUAGCGUUGUUCGGAAUUACUGGGCGUAAAGCGCACGUAGGCGGAUUUGUAAGUCAGGGGUGAAAUCCCGGGGCUCAACCUCGGAACUGCCUUUGAUACUGCAAGUCUCGAGUCCGAUAGAGGUGGGUGGAAUUCCUAGUGUAGAGGUGAAAUUCGUAGAUAUUAGGAAGAACACCGGUGGCGAAGGCGGCCCACUGGACCGGUAUUGACGCUGAGACACGAAAGCGUGGGUAGCAAACAGG
RNAcentral lists this ribosomal RNA (253 nucleotides) under uncultured bacterium. RNAcentral's name for it is "partial 16S ribosomal RNA". It matches the Rfam family "Bacterial small subunit ribosomal RNA", at positions 524 to 776 of the family's 1533-position model. The record is from RNAcentral.